This 335-nucleotide unclassified non-coding RNA is filed under the name soil metagenome. Its description in RNAcentral is "partial contains 5.8S ribosomal RNA, internal transcribed spacer 2, and large subunit ribosomal RNA". The stretch from base 1 to 120 matches the Rfam family "5.8S ribosomal RNA", at positions 35 to 154 of the family's 154-position model. The record is from RNAcentral.
GAUGAAGAACGCAGCGAAAUGGGAUAAGUAAUGUGAAUUGCAGAAUUCAGUGAAUCAUCGAAUCUUUGAACGCACAUUGCGCCCGCCAGUAUUCUGGCGGGCAUGCCUGUUCGAGCGUCAUUUCAACCAUCAAGCCCCCGGCUUGUGUUGGGGACCUGCGGCUGCCGCAGGCCCUGAAAACCAGUGGCGGGCUCGCUAGUCACUCCGAGCGUAGUAAUACAUCUCGCUCAGGGCGUGCUGCGGGUUCCGGCCGUUAAAAAGCCUUAUUUACCCAAGGUUGACCUCGGAUCAGGCAGGAAGACCCGCUGAACUUAAGCAUAUCAAUAAGCGGAGGA